This 502-nucleotide ribosomal RNA is filed under the name Burkholderia sp. Z1S-207. Its description in RNAcentral is "bacterial SSU rRNA". It matches the Rfam family "Bacterial small subunit ribosomal RNA", at positions 110 to 608 of the family's 1533-position model. Lineage: Bacteria; Pseudomonadati; Pseudomonadota; Betaproteobacteria; Burkholderiales; Burkholderiaceae. The record is from RNAcentral.
GUAAUACAUCGGAACGUGUCCUGUAGUGGGGGAUAGCCCGGCGAAAGCCGGAUUAAUACCGCAUACGCUCUACGGAGGAAAGGGGGGGAUCGCAAGACCUCCCGCUACAGGGGCGGCCGAUGGCAGAUUAGCUAGUUGGUGGGGUAAAGGCCUACCAAGGCGACGAUCUGUAGCUGGUCUGAGAGGACGACCAGCCACACUGGGACUGAGACACGGCCCAGACUCCUACGGGAGGCAGCAGUGGGGAAUUUUGGACAAUGGGCGAAAGCCUGAUCCAGCAAUGCCGCGUGUGUGAAGAAGGCCUUCGGGUUGUAAAGCACUUUUGUCCGGAAAGAAAACCUUCGGGUUAAUACCCUGGGGGGAUGACGGUACCGGAAGAAUAAGCACCGGCUAACUACGUGCCAGCAGCCGCGGUAAUACGUAGGGUGCAAGCGUUAAUCGGAAUUACUGGGCGUAAAGCGUGCGCAGGCGGUCCGCUAAGACAGAUGUGAAAUCCCCGGGC